Molecule: long non-coding RNA, 696 nt
Organism: Dermacentor albipictus
Lineage: Eukaryota; Metazoa; Arthropoda; Arachnida; Ixodida; Ixodidae
Source: RefSeq, a predicted model, not a curated record
GAGACUUCCGGUAGAGGUGUCCUCUUAGUCGCGCCCCACGCUUGGGUGUGUAAAGAAUGUGACCCGCAUAUCCGCGCAUUCGUCGUUGCAGCGAGCUUCGUGGGUACAAAAGGAUCGUUGGCUCAUAUAAGAAGCCGCCAUGAGAAACCUGUUGUCCUGCUACGUCUUGCUGUUGCUUGCAGGCGAGCUGGUUCGCUCUCAAGAGCCUGCAAGUUGCCUGGACCGGAGAGUUCUGCUGAAUACUGGAAAGGAAUAUCUCAGGUCUUUGGUAGCUAAGCUUAUACCAAAGUACGUCAAGGACUACAUAACUGGCCUGCCCCAAGAAGAAUUCAAAGGCAUGCGGGAGAUCCAGGACUAUCCGUAGCUUUUCUUGCUCCUUGUUCUUCACAUUCUCAUAUAUAUGACGACAAGCUGCUAAAUAAAUUGGUAGAAAGAAAGCUAACGCGGUUUCUGUUUACACCGGCUUCACCGCGGUUCAGUAAGAGCCACGAAGCCUGGCGUAUAGUGCUCGAACGUUCCCUUCCGGCGUAACAGUGUCACGCGAAAAAUAGUCGCACUCGUGCAGAAAUGAUGGCCGAUGGAGAUACGUAACGGCCAAUGUACGUAUAGCAUCAUAUAAAAAAAAACACUUAGCGGUUUGUUAAGUCAAACAUUCCUUUUAUGGUAAACACGUUGAUUUAUGAGCAUAUUAAAAAC